AAUUCUAUAUUCAAAUAUGAUAUUAAAUUGCAAAUUUAAAGGUAAAAUUGUAUGUUUUUAGAAUUU
This 66-nucleotide transfer RNA is filed under the name Dilar sp. YW-2016. RNAcentral's name for it is "tRNA-Cys". The record is from RNAcentral. Lineage: Eukaryota; Metazoa; Arthropoda; Insecta; Neuroptera; Dilaridae.